RNAcentral lists this ribosomal RNA (483 nucleotides) under uncultured bacterium. RNAcentral describes it as "partial 16S ribosomal RNA". It matches the Rfam family "Bacterial small subunit ribosomal RNA", at positions 30 to 507 of the family's 1533-position model. The record is from RNAcentral.
UUGAACGCUGGCGGCAGGCCUCACACAUGCAAGUCGAGCGGAUGAAGGGAGCUUGCUCCUGGAUUCAGCGGCGGACGGGUGAGUAAUGCCUAGGAAUCUGCCUGGUAGUGGGGGAUAACGUCCGGAAACGGGCGCUAAUACCGCAUACGUCCUGAGGGAGAAAGUGGGGGAUCUUCGGCCCUCACGCUAUCAGAUGAGCCUAGGUCGGAUUAGCUAGUUGGUGGGGUAAAGGCCUACCAAGGCGACGAUCCGUAACUGGUCUGAGAGGAUGAUCAGUCACACUGGAACUGAGACACGGUCCAGACUCCUACGGGAGGCAGCAGUGGGGAAUAUUGGACAAUGGGCGAAAGCCUGAUCCAGCCAUGCCGCGUGUGUGAAGAAGGUCUUCGGAUUGUAAAGCACUUUAAGUUGGGAGGAAGGGCAGUAAGUUAAUACCUUGCUGUUUUGACGUUACCAACAGAAUAAGCACCGGCUAACUUCGUG